UGACCUAUGGGGGGCAGCAGUGAGGAAUAUUGGUCAAUGGGCUUACGCCUGAACCAGCCAAGUCGCGUGAGGGAAGACUGCCCUAUGGGUUGUAAACCUCUUUUGUCAGGGAGCAACGCCGGCUACGUGUAGCCGGACUGAGAGUACCUGAAGAAAAAGCAUCGGCUAACUCCGUGCCAGCAGCCGCGGUAAUACGGAGGAUGCGAGCGUUAUCCGGAUUUAUUGGGUUUAAAGGGUGCGUAGGUGGUUAAUUAAGUCAGCGGUGAAAGUUUGUGGCUCAACCAUAAAAUUGCCGUUGAAACUGG
RNAcentral lists this ribosomal RNA (305 nucleotides) under uncultured bacterium. RNAcentral describes it as "bacterial SSU rRNA". It matches the Rfam family "Bacterial small subunit ribosomal RNA", at positions 333 to 636 of the family's 1533-position model. The record is from RNAcentral.